UACGAGGGGGGCGAGCGUUGUUCGGAAUUAUUGGGCGUAAAGGGUGCGUAGGCGGUUCCGCAAGUCCUGUGUGAAAUCUUCGGGCUCAACUCGAAGUCUGCACGGGAAACUGCGGGGCUUGAGUGUGGGAGAGGUGAGUGGAAUUCCCGGUGUAGCGGUGAAAUGCGUAGAUAUCAGGAGGAACACCGGUGGUGUAGACGGCUAUCUGGACCGUAACUGACGCUGAGGCACGAAAGCGUGGGGAGCGAACAGG
RNAcentral lists this ribosomal RNA (253 nucleotides) under uncultured bacterium. RNAcentral's name for it is "partial 16S ribosomal RNA". It matches the Rfam family "Bacterial small subunit ribosomal RNA", at positions 524 to 776 of the family's 1533-position model. The record is from RNAcentral.